RNAcentral lists this ribosomal RNA (789 nucleotides) under Heterocerus fenestratus. RNAcentral describes it as "partial 16S ribosomal RNA". The stretch from base 285 to 484 matches the Rfam family "Archaeal large subunit ribosomal RNA", at positions 1797 to 2106 of the family's 2987-position model. The record is from RNAcentral. Lineage: Eukaryota; Metazoa; Arthropoda; Insecta; Coleoptera; Heteroceridae.
AAUUUAUUUUAUUAAAAUGGAUUUUCUAAUUUUUGAUUUGUCUAGGUUUAAUAGAAAAAGUUCUGUGGGGAUGAGCUGGCAGAAUUUAUUUAUAUUUUUUCUUUUUAUUAAUGACUAGUAGGAGUAAAAUUUUCUUUCUUUUUAGUAUUUUAUAAUUUAUCAUUAGUUAAUUAUUAUUUUUUAGUAAUUAAAUUUUUUAUAAAAGUAUAUAUAUUAAUUUUUAAUUUUUAAUAAUAAUUAUGUAAUUAGUAAAAUUAUUUUUAAAUUUAUUUUGUUUAUUAAGGUAAGUUUAAGGAAUUCGGCAAUUAGUUUUUCGCCUGUUUAAUAAAAACAUGGUCUUUUGAAUUUGAUUUAAGAUUUGACCUGCCCACUGAGGAUUUAAAUGGCCGCGGUAAUUUGACCGUGCGAAGGUAGCAUAAUCAAUAGUUUUUUAAUUGAAAGCUGGAAUGAAUGGUUGGACGAGAAAAUUACUGUCUCAAGUUUAUUUUUUUUGAAUUUUAUUUUUGAGUCAAAAAGCUUAAAUUUUGUUAAAAGACGAGAAGACCCUAUAGAGUUUAAUUUAUUUAUUUUAAAUGAUUUUAAGAAUUAGUUUUAAAAUUGAUAAAUUUUGCUGGGGUGGUAUUAAGAUUCAAUUAACUCUUAAAUUUUUAUUUUCAAUAAUUAUUGUUUUAUUAUGAUCCAAUUUUUUUGAUUAUUAGAUUAAAUUACCUUAGGGAUAACAGCGUUAUUUUUCUUGAGAGUUCUUAUCGAAAGAAAAGAUUGCGACCUCGAUGUUGGAUUAAAAUAAAC